RNAcentral lists this long non-coding RNA (1735 nucleotides) under Felis catus (domestic cat). RNAcentral describes it as "lncRNA (ENSFCAG00000052019.1)". The record is from RNAcentral. Lineage: Eukaryota; Metazoa; Chordata; Mammalia; Carnivora; Felidae.
AUGUCGAUCUCACAUCUAUUUAAAGCUUUUCUUCCCUUUCCCCUCAGAGCAGGUGAGACUGGGCCGGGCUGGGGUUUCGGAUGGAGGCUGGAGGCUGGGCGGGGUGAGGGGCAGGUGCCAUCGGCUCCGACUGCCCUGCUCCCGCCCUGGCGCGGCCCUCGGAGCGGAGAUGGGUGCAGGGAGGGAGAACAGAGGUUUUCUUCACACCCACCACUGCGGGUGUCCUUCUGUCUGGCUGGCCCUGCCGAGCCACCACCGGCAACCGGGUGGGAUCCGUUGUCCACCCUCCUGGUGGUCAGACAGGAUGUCCCUGGCCUCCGAGUCAUACUUGGACUGUUCUGCGUUGGCCGCAUCCUCGAUGGCAGCCGAGGGCGCGUCUCAUCGCAGAACGCUGCGUCGCCCCCGUUCGCGAAGGUGGGCUUGGAAUUCCGCAGCCUCCCCGGUGCACCACACCCUCAUCCGUCUUAUCUAUCGGUGUAUCUGCCGGACGGACAUCACUGCUCGAGCAGAAUCCGCGCAUCAAGCCCAGGAACCGUGGUUCUGACGGCCCAGGGCCAGGCGUCCCGGCCGCUGCCUGAAUCAUUGAGGACACCCCAGCGGGCACAUCUUUCUGAACCGGGGCAAGUCGCCUUUGUGGGCUCACUUCGCUCGUCCGUCACGAUGAAGGACCCUGGUGAUUAUUCUAGGACGUGGGUUGCUAUGGUGACGGGAAAGGGGGACUUUAGGCAGAGCUGACUUCCCUCCGUCUCCCUGCCUUCCUCCUCUCCCUCAGCCCCCUCUGAGAUGGUGCCCCUGCCCUAGAGAGCCCUCUUCUGUCUUCCUGUCCCCUGCGCCGUGGCUCCGGUCCCGGGGGUUCUGCAGGGUCCGAUGUGGAUGCCCGCUCGGGGAGCCUCCCGAACCAGCCCUGCGUUAGGGCUAUUUUUCCGGCCCCUUCUGCAAACAUUGCUGAUCCUGGUGAUUUGCAGAGUGCUGUGUACGCGAGUCACUUCCAAUCUGUUCCUUGGUGGCAGGACGGGCCCUCUGGCAGCUUCUGCCUCCCCGCCUGGUCUUCUGUCUGCUGCCCUCCCCGUGGCCCACGUUCCUGCCAGCUCUGGGACCUGAGGGGGCCCCUGGAUGUCCUGCGGGAUUGCCAUGGCAGCGAGAGCUUGUUUCAGCCCUUAAGGUGGUGUCUUCAUUAAGCUCCUCUUGGAAAGAGCUUGGGCUGGAGUCUGCAAGCUGCAUAUUGAAGCAAGUCCGCUAAUGUCAAAGUGUGUCUCCGGGUGAGACUCCAAAUCGAAAUAUCCUCAGAACUUCUAACAAGUUAGAUAUCGUUUUGUAUUCAAUUUAUCAUUUUUUAAUGGUCUGUGAUUUUUUUUUUUUUGUCCUGUUUAAGAAAUAUCACUGCUGUAAGAUUACAAAGAUAUUCUCACAUCUCCCUUUAGGAGCUGAAUGAUGUCCUUUUUUUUUUUUAAUUGAAAUAUAUUUGACGUGUAACAUUGUGCAAGUUCAAGGUGUUGAUGUUGAGCUACAGGAGCAAAAUGGGCCAUCCCAAAAUGCAUCUCUUUGGCUUGUGGAUUAUUUGGGGCUAAUUAUUUUUGAGAAAGAGAAGACUCAGGAAGGUUUUCUUUUUCAUCUCCCGCCUAAAUGCCUGAAAGAAUUUACGCAGAGGACCUGCUCCAGGAAGGGAGCUCUCACCCCACCCAACUACGGGAGCACAUGAACUAGGAGUGGCCGACAGGGACGAGCCCAGCAAGGC